UACGGGGGGGGCAAGCGUUGUUCGGAAUUACUGGGCGUAAAGGGCUCGUAGGCGGCCAACUAGGUCGGAUGUGAAAUCCCCAGGCUCAACCUGGGAACUGCAUCCGAUACUGGAUGGCUUGAAUUCGGGAGAGGGAUGCAGAAUUCCAGGUGUAGCGGUGAAAUGCGUAGAUAUCUGGAGGAAUACCGGUGGCGAAGGCGGCAUCCUGGACCGACAUUGACGCUGAGGAGCGAAAGCCAGGGGAGCAAACGGG
RNAcentral lists this ribosomal RNA (253 nucleotides) under uncultured bacterium. Its description in RNAcentral is "partial 16S ribosomal RNA". It matches the Rfam family "Bacterial small subunit ribosomal RNA", at positions 524 to 776 of the family's 1533-position model. The record is from RNAcentral.